This is a small nuclear RNA of Echinops telfairi (small Madagascar hedgehog), 162 nucleotides long. Its record names the gene U1. It matches the Rfam family "U1 spliceosomal RNA". From Rfam's summary of the family: U1 is a small nuclear RNA (snRNA) component of the spliceosome (involved in pre-mRNA splicing). Its 5' end forms complementary base pairs with the 5' splice junction, thus defining the 5' donor site of an intron. The record is from Ensembl. Lineage: Eukaryota; Metazoa; Chordata; Mammalia; Afrosoricida; Tenrecidae.
AUACUUACUUGGCAGGGGAGAUACCAUGAUCACAAAGGCCAUUUUCCCAGGACAAGGCUUAUGCAUUGCACUCUGGAUGUGCUGACCCCUGCGAUUUCCCCAAAUGCGGGGAACUCAGCUGCAUGAUUUGUGGUCGUGGGAGACCACGUUCGUUCUCUCCUC